This 450-nucleotide ribosomal RNA is filed under the name uncultured bacterium. RNAcentral's name for it is "partial 16S ribosomal RNA". It matches the Rfam family "Bacterial small subunit ribosomal RNA", at positions 354 to 796 of the family's 1533-position model. The record is from RNAcentral.
GUGGGGAAUAUUGGACAAUUGGCGAAAGCCUGAUCCAGCCAUGCCGCGUGUGUGAAGAAGGUCUUCGGAUUGUAAAGCACUUUAAGUUGGGAGGAAGGGCAGUAAGUUAAUACCUUGCUGUUUUGACGUUACCGACAGAAUAAGCACCGGCUAACUUCGUGCCAGCAGCCGCGGUAAUACGAAGGGUGCAAGCGUUAAUCGGAAUUACUGGGCGUAAAGCGCGCGUAGGUGGUUUUGUAAGUUGGAGGUGAAAUCCCCGGGCUCAACCUGGGAACUGCCUCCAAAACUGCAUGACUAGAGUACGGUAGAGGGUAGUGGAAUUUCCUGUGUAGCGGUGAAAUGCGUAGAUAUAGGAAGGAACACCAGUGGCGAAGGCGACUACCUGGACUGAUACUGACACUGAGGUGCGAAAGCGUGGGGAGCAAACAGGAUUAGAAACCCCAGUAGUCC